This 169-nucleotide ribosomal RNA is filed under the name uncultured Thiobacillus sp. RNAcentral describes it as "partial 16S ribosomal RNA". It matches the Rfam family "Bacterial small subunit ribosomal RNA", at positions 1215 to 1382 of the family's 1533-position model. Lineage: Bacteria; Pseudomonadati; Pseudomonadota; Betaproteobacteria; Nitrosomonadales; Thiobacillaceae. The record is from RNAcentral.
UUCACACGUCAUACAAUGGUCGGUACAGAGGGUUGCCAAGCCGCGAGGCGGAGCCAAUCCCACAAAGACCGAUCGUAGUCCGGAUUGUUCUCUGCAACUCGAGAGCAUGAAGUCGGAAUCGCUAGUAAUCGCAGGUCAGCAUACUGCGGUGAAUACGUUCCCGGGUCUU